RNAcentral lists this long non-coding RNA (1275 nucleotides) under Sus scrofa (pig). Its description in RNAcentral is "lncRNA (ENSSSCG00035031028.1, ENSSSCG00055004751.1)". Lineage: Eukaryota; Metazoa; Chordata; Mammalia; Artiodactyla; Suidae. The record is from RNAcentral.
ACCAUGCAAAGAGCCUGGACUGUUCCUGUCACUUACCCACUCUAGGCCACUAAAACGAAGGUGAUAACACCUGCCUGGCUGGUUCUGAGAAAGAGAGAAGAUGGAUAAUGUGUGUGAAGGACCUGCCACAAUCCCAGGUAAAAAGAAGCAAGAAUGAAGAAUUAAGCAGUUAAACAAUGACUAGCUCUCCACCGCCAACAGCUCUAUUAGCAAUCCUGCAGGCACAUCCCUCGAGCAAGAUCACACCUGAAGGGUCGACCAGUCUGCAUACAAUGGAGAAGGAUGCCGACCCCAAUCUCCAGCCUCAAAGAUUCUCUGAGGUUCUCCCCCGCCAUCAUUUUUCCCUUUAAAAAUUGUCACGACUGAGCAGAAUCUUCUGAGUUGGUCUCUGGACACAAGUCUAUUGUCUCCUCAGAUUGCCCGCUUUUCAGAGGAAAACACCUCUCCUUUCUACUGACCUCACCUCUUGAAUCACUGCCUUCUGAGGGGUGAGCAGCCGAACCCAGAUUAAAACAAGUAAGAAUGAAGACUGAAGUAGUUAAAGAAUAACCAGCUCCUCUACCCUCAACAGCUCCCUUAGCAAUCCCGCAGGCUGGCAGGCUGAUCACCUGGGCAAGAUCCCGUUGGAAGACAGACGGAGCCAGCCAGUCUGCACGCAAUGGAGGAUGAUGCAGAAUCCAACCUCCUGCCUCACUGAUUCACUGAGAUUCUUUCCUUUUUUCCCUUCAAAAGGUGUCAGGGCUGAACAGAAUCUCUAUAGCUGGUCUCAGGACGUAAGUCCAUCUUCUCCCCAGAUUGCUGACUUUUCUUCUAAGUCAAGUAUCUUUCCUUUCUCCCUAUAUUUGCCUCUUGAUUAUUGGCUUUGGAGUGUGGUAAUAUAAUCAGGUUUAGAUUGGGUUAUGAAAGUAGGACCUUCCUGAUAGGAUCAGUGCCCUUAGAGGAAGAGGGAGAGGGAUCUCUCUCCAGUCACAAGCAAGGCCAGUGAGCACACAGAGGUAGGGUGGACACCUGCAAUCUGGAAGCCAAUCUGCUGGCACUAUCUUCCAGCAUCCAGAACUGUGAGAAAUAAGGUCUGCUGUUGAAGCCCCCUGUGUGUAGUAUUUUAUUAUAGCAGCCUGAACUGACUGAGAUACUUGGUAACACAUGAAUGCUAGCUACUUUGAUCAUUUAUGAAAUUUGGAGAUUAACAGCUGUUUUAUCUUAUUCAGUUGACCCUGAAAUAUAUUUUCUUUAUAUUAAAAUAUAUUUUCUUUAUAUUAAAACAAUUUAUAUUAA